CUCACUUCCUGCCGUCAGCUGGGCUGCGGCCGGGCCGAGGUGCUGGCGGCUUCCGCUCUGCCCGGGCCGGGCGGCAGGGGGCGGGCGCCAGGGUCCCACGGCUCCCCCAGUGCCGCCCCCUUUACCCCCGAAAUCCGCGUUCCCACCCGGGCUUUUCGGUUUUAGAGAUCGGUUUCGCUGGGAGCUUUCGGGGGCCAGGAGCUCGCUCAUUGCGAGAGUGCGGGGCCCCCAAGCGCUUCCAAGGAAUGGGCUGGGCUCCCCGGGCGUGGGAAACGCGCCAGGCCGGCCUCCUUCUGAGUCACAGGGCCGCCUCGCCGCCCGCGCGUGGGGGAGGAGAGCGUUUUCUUCAUCCCCGCGCCCUUCACUCUGGCCGGAGGCGGGGUGGGGACCCGAGCGACGCGGACCCACAGAGCUGGUUUCCAACUUCCGGCUUGCGUACGGCCGCUGACGGCAGCUCCCAGCUCCCAAGGCAGCCUCUGCCGGGGUUUUCAGUGGGAAAACCGUUCUCUCAUCACCGCAAGCGUUCCCUGGUGAGGGUCAGGGCACACAGUGUCUCCUGCUGUCCCGUGCACAGAUACCACUGCUUCCUCGUGAGUGUGAAGAGGCCCGAUGCCCACUUGUUGGUCCGUGGCGGUCACUUCUCUCUUCCUCCUCCUCCUAGAGCAGAAGGGAUCGAACUCAGGACCUUGCGCUUGCGAGGCAGGCGGCAGAAACACUGAGCUAAAUCCCCGGCUACAUUUGAUUCCUGUAUCAAAACACUGCACUGCACUCCAUCCAGGAUGCACAAGUAUGUGUUCAAUAAAAAAGAAAGCUUAGAGCACAGGGUCCAGAGUUCGAUCCCGGGAGGGCGGGUAGAGAAGAAAGCGG
RNAcentral lists this long non-coding RNA (867 nucleotides) under Heterocephalus glaber (naked mole-rat). RNAcentral describes it as "lncRNA (ENSHGLG00100039319.1)". Lineage: Eukaryota; Metazoa; Chordata; Mammalia; Rodentia; Bathyergidae. The record is from RNAcentral.